CCGGGGCUGAGGUGGAGCCGCGGGACGCCGGCAGGGUUGUGGCGCAGCAGUCUCCUUCCUGCGCGCGCGCCUGAAGUCGGCGUGGGCGUUUGAGGAAGCUGGGAUACAGCAUUUAAUGAAAAAUUUAUGCUUAAGAAGUAAAAAUGGCAGGCUUCCUAGAUAAUUUUCGUUGGCCAGAAUGUGAAUGUAUUGACUGGAGUGAGAGAAGAAAUGCUGUGGCAUCUGUUGUCGCAGGUAUAUUGUUUUUUACAGGCUGGUGGAUAAUGAUUGAUGCAGCUGUGGUGUAUCCUAAGCCAGAACAGUUGAACCAUGCCUUUCACACAUGUGGUGUAUUUUCCACAUUGGCUUUCUUCAUGAUAAAUGCUGUAUCCAAUGCUCAGGUGAGAGGUGAUAGCUAUGAAAGCGGCUGUUUAGGAAGAACAGGUGCUCGAGUUUGGCUUUUCAUUGGUUUCAUGUUGAUGUUUGGGUCACUUAUUGCUUCCAUGUGGAUUCUUUUUGGUGCAUAUGUUACCCAAAAUACUGAUGUUUAUCCGGGACUAGCUGUGUUUUUUCAAAAUGCACUUAUAUUUUUUAGCACUCUGAUCUACAAAUUUGGAAGAACCGAAGAGCUAUGGACCUGAGAUCACUUCUUAAGUCACAUUUUCCUUUUGUUAUAUUCUGUUUGUAGAUAGGUUUUUUAUCUCUCAGUACACAUUGCCAAAUGGAGUAGAUUGUACAUUAAAUGUUUUGUUUCUUUACAUUUUUAUGUUCUGAGUUUUGAAAUAGUUUUAUGAAAUUUCUUUAUUUUUCAUUGCAUAGACUGUUAAUAUGUAUAUAAUACAAGACUAUAUGAAUUGGAUAAUGAGUAUCAGUUUUUUAUUCCUGAGAUUUAGAACUUGAUCUACUCCCUGAGCCAGGGUUACAUCAUCUUGUCAUUUUAGAAGUAACCACUCUUGUCUCUCUGGCUGGGCACGGUGGCUCAUGCCUGUAAUCCCAGCACUUUGGGAGGCCGAGGCGGGCCGAUUGCUUGAGGUCAAGUGUUUGAGACCAGCCUGGCCAACAUGGCGAAACCCCAUCUACUAAAAAUACAAAAAUUAGCCAGGCAUGGUGGUGGGUGCCUGUAAUCCCAACUACCUAGGAGGCUGAGGCAGGAGAAUCGCUUGAACCCGGGGGGCAGAGGUUGUAGUGAGCUGAGUUUGCGCCACUGCACUCUAGCCUGGGGGAGAAAGUGAAACUCCCUCUC
RNAcentral lists this long non-coding RNA (1222 nucleotides) under Homo sapiens (human). Its description in RNAcentral is "long non-coding RNA NONHSAT191410.1". The record is from RNAcentral. Lineage: Eukaryota; Metazoa; Chordata; Mammalia; Primates; Hominidae.